UGCUGCAUGGCUGUCGUCAGCUCGUGUCGUGAGAUGUUGGGUUAAGUCCCGCAACGAGCGCAACCCUCGCCCUUAGUUGCCAGCAUUGAGUUGGGCACUCUAGGGGGACUGCCGGUGAUAAGCCGAGAGGAAGGUGGGGAUGACGUCAAGUCCUCAUGGCCCUUACGGGCUGGGCUACACACGUGCUACAAUGGCGGUGACAGUGGGCAGCGAACCCGCAAGGGGGAGCUAAUCUCCAAAAGCCGUCUCAGUUCGGAUUGUUCUCUGCAACUCGAGAGCAUGAAGUUGGAAUCGCUAGUAAUCGCGUAACAGCAUGACGCGGUGAAUACGUUCCCGGGCCUUGUACACACC
RNAcentral lists this ribosomal RNA (351 nucleotides) under Stappia kahanamokuae. RNAcentral's name for it is "bacterial SSU rRNA". It matches the Rfam family "Bacterial small subunit ribosomal RNA", at positions 1039 to 1391 of the family's 1533-position model. The record is from RNAcentral. RNAcentral also lists the same sequence under 1 other name. Lineage: Bacteria; Pseudomonadati; Pseudomonadota; Alphaproteobacteria; Hyphomicrobiales; Stappiaceae.